CUGGGCGGCACGCACAGCAGCGGCCCGGCGCCAACGGGCCGCCUGGGGGCCCAGCGGGUGUCUGGGGCCACCCGCCUUCUCCUAAGCUUGGGGGGCAUGGGGGGGGCCGGCAGGCGGCAGGGGUCCCACCGAACCACCCCCCCGUCCCCAUCAGCUAGUAGCUGCCCCGGGGGCCCUGCAGGGCGGCCAAAGGUCCUGUUCCUCCACCGGGAACAGGGUGAGGACAGACGGCAGCUGGACGCCAGCCUGUGGGAAUGCGGUCCCGUCCGGGGCUGUCUGUCCCCCUCCCCCGCCCUGACCUUCGCUCCACACCGCCUGCUGACGUACCCGCCCUCGGCCGCAGCCUGGGAACCCCAACCUCAGGGCCGGCCUGGCCACAGCGCUCUGGGUCCUGCGUCCUGGACACCUGGCUGGACGUUUGUCCCUGAAAACAUUGCCACACACCCUGCAGUGUGGACAAACCCCGAAAGUAUGCUGAGUGUCCGUCUACCCGUCCUGUCUGUCUGUAUCUGUCUGUCCAUCCACCUGUCCUGUCUGCAUCUGUCCAUCUGUCCACCUGCCCUUUCUGUCUGUAUCUGUCUGUCCAUCCACCUGUCCCAUCUGUAUCUGUCCAUCUGUCCACUGGCCCUGUCUGUCUGUCUGUCCAUCUGUCCACCUGCCCUGUCUGUAUCUGUCCAUCCAUCCACCCCUCCUGUCUGUCUGCAUCUGUCUGUCCAUCCACCUGUCCCAUCUGUAUCUGUCCAUCUGUCCACCGGCCCUGUCUGUCUGUCCAUCUGUCCACCUGCCCUGUCUGUAUCUGUCCAUCCAUCCACCCCUCCUUUCUGUCUGUAUCUGUCUGUCCAUCCACCUGCCCUGUCUGUCUGCACCCGUUUGUCCGCGCCCCCUCCACAGACACACAGGCGAUAGAAUCGGAAGCAGCGCAAGCAGAGUCCGGGGCUGUUCACAGUUCAACACCAUUCUUCUCCUUUUUAAAUGCCCGUACCUAUUUUACGUUUUCGAAAUUGAACGUAAGUACGUAAUCGGUAAGUACGUCGCUCCCUGGACUCCUGACGCUCCCGGUAACCUAGCAGCCCUCGUCUCUGAGGACACGGGAACACCUGGCGCGGCCCGCCCGACGCACACACGCGUGCUCUGCGCUCCGAGGGCUUGUGGGGAGUUAGAAGGAAUCCACCGUCCUUGCCCUUUCUUACCC
Molecule: long non-coding RNA, 1192 nt
Filed under: Suricata suricatta (meerkat)
Lineage: Eukaryota; Metazoa; Chordata; Mammalia; Carnivora; Herpestidae
Description: lncRNA (ENSSSUG00005010565.1)
Source: RNAcentral